RNAcentral lists this ribosomal RNA (258 nucleotides) under Escherichia coli. Its description in RNAcentral is "partial 23S ribosomal RNA". It matches the Rfam family "Bacterial large subunit ribosomal RNA", at positions 2673 to 2925 of the family's 2925-position model. The record is from RNAcentral. Lineage: Bacteria; Pseudomonadati; Pseudomonadota; Gammaproteobacteria; Enterobacterales; Enterobacteriaceae.
UGCUCCUAGUACGAGAGGACCGGAGUGGACGCAUCACUGGUGUUCGGGUUGUCAUGCCAAUGGCACUGCCCGGUAGCUAAAUGCGGACGAGAUAAGUGCUGAAAGCAUCUAAGCACGAAACUUGCCCCGAGAUGAGUUCUCCCUGACUCCUUGAGAGUCCUGAAGGAACGUUGAAGACGACGACGUUGAUAGGCCGGGUGUGUAAGCGCAGCGAUGCGUUGAGCUAACCGGUACUAAUGAACCGUGAGGCUUAACCUU